ACGGGGCGCAGCAGGCGCGAAACCUCUGCAAUAGGCGAAAGCUUGACAGGGUUACUCUGAGUGAUUUCCGUUAAGGAGAUCUUUUGGCACCUCUAAAAAUGGUGCAGAAUAAGGGGUGGGCAAGUCUGGUGUCAGCCGCCGCGGUAAUACCAGCACCCCGAGUGGUCGGGACGUUUAUUGGGCCUAAAGCAUCCGUAGCUGGUUCUACAAGUCUUCCGUUAAAUCCACCUGCUUAACAGAUGGGCUGCGGAAGAUACUAUAGAGCUAGGAGGCGGGAGAGGCAAGCGGUACUCGACGGGUAGGGGUAAAAUCCGUUGAUCCAUUGAAGACCACCAGCGGCGAAGGCGGCUUGCCAGAACGCGCUCGACGGUGAGGGAUGAAAGCUGGGGGAGCAAACCGGAUUAGAUACCCGGGUAGUCCCAGCUGUAAACGAUGCAGACUCGGUGAUGAGUUGGCUUAUUGCUAACUCAGUGCCGCAGGGAAGCCGUUAAGUUUGCCGCCUGGGGAGUACGGUCGCAAGACUGAAACUCAAAGGAAUUGACGGA
RNAcentral lists this ribosomal RNA (545 nucleotides) under uncultured archaeon. RNAcentral's name for it is "bacterial SSU rRNA". It matches the Rfam family "Archaeal small subunit ribosomal RNA", at positions 325 to 872 of the family's 1478-position model. The record is from RNAcentral.